RNAcentral lists this ribosomal RNA (523 nucleotides) under Lactobacillus gasseri. RNAcentral describes it as "bacterial SSU rRNA". It matches the Rfam family "Bacterial small subunit ribosomal RNA", at positions 45 to 528 of the family's 1533-position model. Lineage: Bacteria; Bacillati; Bacillota; Bacilli; Lactobacillales; Lactobacillaceae. The record is from RNAcentral.
UGCUAUACAUGCAGUCGAGCGAGCUUGCCUAGAUGAAUUUGGUGCUUGCACCAAAUGAAACUAGAUACAAGCGAGCGGCGGACGGGUGAGUAACACGUGGGUAACCUGCCCAAGAGACUGGGAUAACACCUGGAAACAGAUGCUAAUACCGGAUAACAACACUAGACGCAUGUCUAGAGUUUAAAAGAUGGUUCUGCUAUCACUCUUGGAUGGACCUGCGGUGCAUUAGCUAGUUGGUAAGGUAACGGCUUACCAAGGCAAUGAUGCAUAGCCGAGUUGAGAGACUGAUCGGCCACAUUGGGACUGAGACACGGCCCAAACUCCUACGGGAGGCAGCAGUAGGGAAUCUUCCACAAUGGACGCAAGUCUGAUGGAGCAACGCCGCGUGAGUGAAGAAGGGUUUCGGCUCGUAAAGCUCUGUUGGUAGUGAAGAAAGAUAGAGGUAGUAACUGGCCUUUAUUUGACGGUAAUUACUUAGAAAGUCACGGCUAACUACGUGCCAGCAGCCGCCGGUAAAAAAAUU